GACGAACGCUGGCGGCGUGCUUAACACAUGCAAGUCGAACGGAAAGGCCCCUUUGGGGGUACUCGAGUGGCGAACGGGUGAGUAACACGUGAGUAACCUGCCCUUGGCUUCGGGAUAACUUCAGGAAACUGGGGCUAAUACCGGAUAGGAAUCCUUGCUGCAUGGUGGGGGUUGGAAAGCUUCGGCGGUUUUGGAUGGACUCGCGGCUUAUCAGCUUGUUGGUGGGGUAGUGGCUUACCAAGGCUUUGACGGGUAGCCGGCCUGAGAGGGCGACCGGCCACAGUGGGACUGAGAUACGGCCCAGACUCCUACGGGAGGCAGCAGUGGGGAAUAUUGCACAAUGGGCGGAAGCCUGAUGCAGCAACGCCGCGUGCGGGAUGACGGCCUUCGGGUUGUAAACCGCUUUCAGCAGGGGCGAAGCUUGUGGUGACGGUACCUGCAGAAGAAGCACCGGCUAACUACGUG
This 465-nucleotide ribosomal RNA is filed under the name uncultured bacterium. RNAcentral describes it as "partial 16S ribosomal RNA". It matches the Rfam family "Bacterial small subunit ribosomal RNA", at positions 28 to 507 of the family's 1533-position model. The record is from RNAcentral.